Chlorocebus sabaeus (green monkey) is the source of this 508-nucleotide long non-coding RNA. RefSeq lists it as uncharacterized. The record is from RefSeq and is a predicted model, not a curated record. Lineage: Eukaryota; Metazoa; Chordata; Mammalia; Primates; Cercopithecidae.
UCCUUUCUCAUGGAGAAAGCUUCCCUACACAGUGAAGCUAAACUUCAGGAGAAAGCAGAAAUGAGAGAAGAAACAGGGAUGUUCCUGACAUCUUUUGAGCACUUACAGGGCAAGAGGAGAGCUUGGGAGAUGAGCCAUUUCAGGAGGGCUGGGGUGAAACCAAGACAGGCGCCCCUCAAAGUGGAGAAGCUAGAGCAGGAUAUUUUCCUGACCCCUUCAAGGGACUCACGACGGGAUGCUUCAUUUACUCAGCUCACCGCUCUCAAUCCUUGUGGGAGGCAGUGUGUGUAAGCGAACAAGAUGGGAACUGGAGUGCAUGAGCACUGGCCAUUUCAACGCCGGCUGGAUCAAACUCCACUGACUCAGACCCACUACAUUCCACCCCUCACAGGAGGGAACACAUAGGUUAAAGGACCAAAAAGCUGUCUUUGAAUAUGAGCCACGUAUUUCGUAUGUUACAGCAUUUGGACACUUAAAGCCUCUGCCCAUCUCCUGCCUCCCAAAUGUG